UACGAAGGGUGCAAGCGUUACUCGGAAUUACUGGGCGUAAAGCGUGCGUAGGUGGUUCGUUAAGUCUGAUGUGAAAGCCCUGGGCUCAACCUGGGAAUGGCAUUGGAAACUGGCGACCUAGAGUGCGGUAGAGGGUAGUGGAAUUCCCGGUGUAGCAGUGAAAUGCGUAGAGAUCGGGAGGAACAUCCGUGGCGAAGGCGACUACCUGGACCAGCACUGACACUGAGGCACGAAAGCUAGGGGAGCAAACAGG
Molecule: ribosomal RNA, 253 nt
Filed under: uncultured bacterium
Lineage: Bacteria
Description: partial 16S ribosomal RNA
Rfam family: Bacterial small subunit ribosomal RNA
Source: RNAcentral